GACGAACGCUGGCGGCGUGCUUAACACAUGCAAGUCGAGCGGUAAGGCCCUUUCGGGGGUACACGAGCGGCGAACGGGUGAGUAACACGUGGGUGACCUGCCCUUAGCUCUGGGAUAAGCCUGGGAAACUGGGUCUAAUACCGGAUAUGACUCCAUGACGCAUGUUGUGGGGUGGAAAGCCUUGUGCGGCUAGGGAUGGGCCCGCGGCCUAUCAGCUUGUUGGUGGGGUGAUGGCCACCAAGGCGACGACGGGUAGCCGGCCUGAGAGGGCGACCGGCCACACUGGGACUGAGACACGGCCCAGACUCCUACGGGAGGCAGCAGUGGGGAAUCUUGCGCAAUGGGCGAAAGCCUGACGCAGCGACGCCGCGUGGGGAUGACGGCCUGG
This 388-nucleotide ribosomal RNA is filed under the name uncultured bacterium. RNAcentral's name for it is "bacterial SSU rRNA". It matches the Rfam family "Bacterial small subunit ribosomal RNA", at positions 28 to 419 of the family's 1533-position model. The record is from RNAcentral.